GAGGGUACAGCUCAGUGGAGGAGGGUGUGCUUAGCAUGCACGAGGUCCUGGGUUCAAUUCCCAGUACCUCCA
Molecule: transfer RNA, 72 nt
Filed under: Camelus bactrianus (Bactrian camel)
Lineage: Eukaryota; Metazoa; Chordata; Mammalia; Artiodactyla; Camelidae
Also listed under: 2 other names
Rfam family: tRNA
About the family: Transfer RNA (tRNA) molecules are approximately 80 nucleotides in length. Their secondary structure includes four short double-helical elements and three loops (D, anti-codon, and T loops).
Source: Rfam by way of RNAcentral